RNAcentral lists this non-coding RNA (21 nucleotides) under Caenorhabditis elegans. The record is from RNAcentral. Lineage: Eukaryota; Metazoa; Nematoda; Chromadorea; Rhabditida; Rhabditidae.
UUCUUAUUAGAUAAAAUUUGA